UUGCUGGUAACGGCAGGGUCUGAAGGAAGCGAUAGGAAGUAAGCGGUACAUAGUGUAAACGAACCUGAUUCAGCGGUGCGGGAGGGUAAGCGUCCAAACUAGCGUGAAGCCCGAUACCUGGUCAGUCCCGUAACGUGUUUGAGGAUGCGAUCGCUCACAGGGGGUUCGC
RNAcentral lists this non-coding RNA (169 nucleotides) under Desulfopila aestuarii DSM 18488. The record is from RNAcentral. Lineage: Bacteria; Pseudomonadati; Thermodesulfobacteriota; Desulfobulbia; Desulfobulbales; Desulfocapsaceae.